CACAUUGGUACUGAGACACGGACCAAACUCCUACGGGAGGCAGCAGUGAGGAAUAUUGGUCAAUGGACGGAAGUCUGAACCAGCCAUGCCGCGUGCAGGAAGACGGCUCUAUGAGUUGUAAACUGCUUUUGUACGAGGGUAAACGCAGAUACGUGUAUCUGCCUGAAAGUAUCGUACGAAUAAGGAUCGGCUAACUCCGUGCCAGCAGCCGCGGUAAUACGGAGGAUCCAAGCGUUAUCCGGAUUUAUUGGGUUUAAAGGGUGCGUAGGCGGUUUAGUAAGUCAGCGGUGAAAUUUUGGUGCUUAACACCAAACGUGCCGUUGAUACUGCUGGGCUAGAGAGUAGUUGCGGUAGGCGGAAUGUAUGGUGUAGCGGUGAAAUGCUUAGAGAUCAUACAGAACACCGAUUGCGAAGGCAGCUUACCAAACUAUAUCUGACGUUGAGGCACGAAAGCGUGGGGAGCAAACAGGAUUAGAUACCCUGGUAGUCCACGCAGUAAACGAUGAUAGCUCGUUGUCGGCGAUACACAGUCGGUGACUAAGAGAAAUCGAUAAGCUAUCCACCUGGGGAGUACGUUCGCAAGAAUGAAACUCAAAGGAAUUGACGGGGGCCCGCACAAGCGGAGGAACAUGUGGUUUAAUUCGAUGAUACGCGAGGAACCUUACCCGGGCUUGAAAGUUACUGACGAUUCUGGAAACAGGAUUUCCCUUCGGGGCAGGAAACUAGGUGCUGCAUGGUUGUCGUCAGCUCGUGCCGUGAGGUGUCGGGUUAAGUCCCAUAACGAGCGCAACCCCUACUGAUAGUUGCCAUCAGAGCGUUUGAGCGAUCAAACAAGCUGGGCACUCUAUCGGGACUGCCGGUGUAAGCCGAGAGGAAGGUGGGGAUGACGUCAAAUCAGCACGGCCCUUACGUCCGGGGCGACACACGUGUUACAAUGGUAGGUACAGAGGGCAGCCACCCAGUGAUGGGGAGCGAAUCUCGAAAGCCUAUCUCAGUUCGGAUUGGAGGCUGAAACUCGCCUCCAUGAAGUUGGAUUCGCUAGUAAUCGCGCAUCAGCCAUGGCGCGGUGAAUACGUUCCCGGGCCUUGUACACACCGCCCGUCAAGCCAUGGGAGUUGGGGGUGCC
This 1126-nucleotide ribosomal RNA is filed under the name Alistipes communis. RNAcentral's name for it is "bacterial SSU rRNA". It matches the Rfam family "Bacterial small subunit ribosomal RNA", at positions 309 to 1421 of the family's 1533-position model. Lineage: Bacteria; Pseudomonadati; Bacteroidota; Bacteroidia; Bacteroidales; Rikenellaceae. The record is from RNAcentral.